Molecule: transfer RNA, 73 nt
Filed under: Paramuricea clavata
Lineage: Eukaryota; Metazoa; Cnidaria; Anthozoa; Malacalcyonacea; Plexauridae
Rfam family: tRNA
About the family: Transfer RNA (tRNA) molecules are approximately 80 nucleotides in length.
Source: Rfam by way of RNAcentral
GCCCACGUAGCUCAGUUGGAAGAGCAUUGGGCUAGUAUUCCAAAGGUCGUAGGUUCGAAUCCCGCCGUGGCCA